Molecule: ribosomal RNA, 386 nt
Filed under: uncultured bacterium
Lineage: Bacteria
Description: bacterial SSU rRNA
Rfam family: Bacterial small subunit ribosomal RNA
Source: RNAcentral
GACGAACGCUGGCGGCGUGCUUAACACAUGCAAGUCGAGCGGUAAGGCCCUUUCGGGGUACACGAGCGGCGAACGGGUGAGUAACACGUGGGUGACCUGCCCUCAGCUCUGGGAUAAGCCUGGGAAACCGGGUCUAAUACUGGAUAUGACUCCAUGACGCAUGUUGUGGGGUGGAAAGCCUUGUGCGGCUGGGGAUGGGCCCGCGGCCUAUCAGCUUGUUGGUGGGGUGAUGGCCUACCAAGGCGACGACGGUAGCCGGCCUGAGAGGGCGACCGGCCACACUGGGACUGAGACACGGCCCAGACUCCUACGGGAGGCAGCAGUGGGGAAUCUUGCGCAAUGGGCGAAAGCCUGACGCAGCGACGCCGCGUGAGGGAUGACGGCCU